Suricata suricatta (meerkat) is the source of this 407-nucleotide long non-coding RNA. RefSeq lists it as uncharacterized. The record is from RefSeq and is a predicted model, not a curated record. NCBI's taxonomy places the organism in Eukaryota, Metazoa, Chordata, Mammalia, Carnivora, Herpestidae. The transcript has 3 exons.
CAGGCUGGUGAGAACUGAAGAUUUCUCCAGAUUGAGCAAACUCCUUUCCAGUUCUUUCUCUGUCUGUGCGGCUGGUCAUAGUGACUGGGGAAAGAAGAGAGCAUAAUCCAAUAAGGACAAAGAAUAUUGAAGAGAAGACAACAAAAACAAAAUUUUAGACACUGGAAAGCAGGAAGAGUAGUAUCUGGUUUGGCAGAUCCAGGAAGACCAAAUCCUGAACCAGCGGUGGAAGCAGGAUGGCCCGGUUUGCCCUGAAACCGGACUUCCUUGAUAAAUGGCUAAUUCCAGGGCUAGAGGAAGAAAUGUACAAGAUCCUAAAACCACUCUGUCCUACCAGACAGCAAAGGCAUUAAAGGAAGGUCUGUCAAAAAAGAUUCAGAAGGCACCUUGAAGAAUUUCCCAACUGA